UGCAAGUCGUGGGGCAGCAGGUUUGUAGCAAUACAGAUGCUGGCGACCGGCAAACGGGUGCGGAACACGUACGCAACCUUCCCAAAACUGGUGAAUAGCCCUCCGAAAGGAGGAUUAAUACACCGUAACAUAAUGAAGUGGCAUCACUUUAUUAUUAUAGCUCCGGCGGUUUUGGAUGGGCGUGCGUCUGAUUAGGUAGUUGGCGGGGUAACGGCCCACCAAGCCUGCGAUCAGUAGCUGAUGUGAGAGCAUGAUCAGCCACACGGGCACUGAGACACGGGCCCGACUCCUACGGGAGGCAGCAGUAAGGAAUAUUGGUCAAUGGACGCAAGUCUGAACCAGCCAUGCCGCGUGGAGGAUGAAGGUCCUCUGGAUUGUAAACUUCUUUUCUCUGGGACGAAACCCCCGAUUUCUAUCGGGCCUGACGGUACCAGAGGAAUAAGCACCGGCUAACUCCGUGCCAGCAGCCGCGGUAAUACGGAGGGUGCAAGCGUUAUCCGGAUUCACUGGGUUUAAAGGGAGCGUAGGUGGGCUUGUAAGUCAGUGGUGAAAUCUCUGGGCUUAACCCGGAAACUGCCAUUGAUACUAUAGGUCUUGAAUUCUCUGGAGGUAAGCGGAAUAUGUCAUGUAGCGGUGAAAUGCUUAGAUAUGACAUAGAACACCCAUUGCGAAGGCAGCUUACUACGGAGACAUUGACACUGAGGCUCGAAAGCGU
RNAcentral lists this ribosomal RNA (715 nucleotides) under uncultured bacterium. RNAcentral describes it as "bacterial SSU rRNA". It matches the Rfam family "Bacterial small subunit ribosomal RNA", at positions 56 to 762 of the family's 1533-position model. The record is from RNAcentral.